RNAcentral lists this ribosomal RNA (610 nucleotides) under Pseudoalteromonas sp. IH7-13. RNAcentral describes it as "bacterial SSU rRNA". It matches the Rfam family "Bacterial small subunit ribosomal RNA", at positions 94 to 704 of the family's 1533-position model. Lineage: Bacteria; Pseudomonadati; Pseudomonadota; Gammaproteobacteria; Alteromonadales; Pseudoalteromonadaceae. The record is from RNAcentral.
AGCGGCGGACGGGUGAGUAAUGCUUGGGAACAUGCCAUUAGUGGGGGACAACAGUUGGAAACGACUGCUAAUACCGCAUAAUCUCUUUGGAGCAAAGAUGGGGCUCUUCGGACCUAUCGCCUAAUGAUUGGCCCAAGUGGGAUUAGCUAGUUGGUGAGGUAAUGGCUCACCAAGGCGACGAUCUCUAGCUGGUCUGANAGGAUGAUCAGCCACACUGGAACUGAGACACGGUCCAGACUCCUACGGGAGGCAGCAGUGGGGAAUAUUGGACAAUGGGCGCAAGCCUGAUCCAGCCAUGCCGCGUGUGUGAAGAAGGCCUUCGGGUUGUAAAGCACUUUCAGUUGGGAGGAAAGCUUAGUCGCUAAUAUCGGCUAGGUGUGACGUUACCAACAGAAGAAGCACCGGCUAACUCCGUGCCAGCAGCCGCGGUAAUACGGAGGGUGCAAGCGUUAAUCGGAAUUACUGGGCGUAAAGCGUACGCAGGCGGUUGAUUAAGCGAGAUGUGAAAGCCCCGGGCUCAACCUGGGAACUGCAUUUCGAACUGGUCAACUAAGUGUGAUAGAGGGUGGUAAAUUUCAGGUGUACCGUGAAAUGCGUAAAGAUCUGAAGG